Molecule: ribosomal RNA, 253 nt
Filed under: uncultured bacterium
Lineage: Bacteria
Description: partial 16S ribosomal RNA
Rfam family: Bacterial small subunit ribosomal RNA
Source: RNAcentral
UACGAAGGGGGCUAGCGUUGUUCGGAAUUACUGGGCGUAAAGCGCACGUAGGCGGAUUUGUAAGUAGGGGGUGAAAUCCCCAGGCUCAACCUGGGAACUGCCUUCUAAACUGCAAGUCUGGAGAUCAGGAGAGGCGAGUGGAAUGCCGAGUGUAGAGGUGAAAUUCGUAGAUAUUCGGUGGAACACCAGUGGCGAAGGCGACUCGCUGGACUGAUACUGACGCUGAGGUGCGAAAGCGUGGGGAGCAAACAGG